RNAcentral lists this ribosomal RNA (492 nucleotides) under uncultured bacterium. RNAcentral describes it as "partial 16S ribosomal RNA". It matches the Rfam family "Bacterial small subunit ribosomal RNA", at positions 29 to 507 of the family's 1533-position model. The record is from RNAcentral.
AGUGAACGCUGGCGGUAGGCCUAACACAUGCAAGUCGAACGGCAGCACAGUAAGAGCUUGCUCUUACGGGUGGCGAGUGGCGGACGGGUGAGGAAUACAUCGGAAUCUACUUUUUCGUGGGGGAUAACGUAGGGAAACUUACGCUAAUACCGCAUACGACCUACGGGUGAAAGCAGGGGAUCUUCGGACCUUGCGCGAUUGAAUGAGCCGAUGUCGGAUUAGCUAGUUGGCGGGGUAAAGGCCUACCAAGGCGACGAUCCGUAGCUGGUCUGAGAGGAUGAUAAGCCACACUGGAACUGAGACACGGUCCAGACUCCUACGGGAGGCAGCAGUGGGGAAUAUUGGACAAUGGGCGCAAGCCUGAUCCAGCCAUACCGCGUGGGUGAAGAAGGCCUUCGGGUUGUAAAGCCCUUUUGUUGGGAAAGAAAAGCAGCAGGUUAAUACCCCGCUGUUCUGACGGUACCCAAAGAAUAAGCACCGGCUAACUUCGUG